UCUUCUGCGGGAACGAGGAAGGAGGAGCUUGUCACCGGGCCCUUGUCACCCCGCCCGCGCACGGAGCUCUACGCCGCGGCUCCAGGCGAAGGAGGAGCUCGAGGGAACUGCGCCCUUGCCGCGGAAGUACCAGGGUCCUGCAAGCCCUUCGCUUGGCGCAGCUGUAACGACGGGGUCUGUGUUGCUGAAGCUGGCUUCAAACUCUUGGGCUCAAGUGAUCUUCCCCACCUCUGCCUCCCAAGUAGCAGAAAGAACAAUUUUGAAAAAAGCCAGAGACCAUACAUUGAAAAGCCAGAGGAGCACACACGUGACGUUCUCAGGACAGCUAAAAAGGGCUGUACAGAGACGAGUGGUUCCUAAGGGAAAGUAGGAUAUCUCUCCAUUCCACCAAAAGUGGAAUCACAAAAAAGAUCAGAGAGAAAAGCAGCGCACUAAACGUGUGCACGUUUCCAUGGGACCACUGGACUAUUGGCUUUUCGAGAGACAUGGGGACUCACAGAGAGAGAUCCUGGUGAGGGCCCACUCCUGCUUGAUCCUGGAUGAGGUCUAGUUGUAGAGCACAGCCAGCUUUAUAAGCACGGAGUCAGGGAUGAUCAUCCGGUUUAAAUGGGAAGUCCAGCAGAGUUUAAGGAAGACGUGGCCUGAUGUGACACCUAGAACUAACGUAACUUUUAAGACCAGAGUCCAACCGAGAAAAUAUUAGUGAUCCGCAGAACCUUGCACGUGCUCCUGUGGCUACGCUGUCUGUCCGCAGCCCCUGGGCUGUGGGUGAACCGGGCUGCUCCUCGGUGCCUCCAGGAUGCACCUCUCCACCAUGCCUUGGAUUCCAGCCCCGCCGGCCACACCGGCAACUCUGGCCAUCUUCAGUUCAUUCAUUCCAACUAGCACACAAACAUGCUGUGCUAGUUCCUUUUCUUAAAAAAAAAACACAAAACCUCUCCUUAGCCCCAUAUCCCCUUCCAGUUACCCAGUUUUUCUUCUCCCCUUAACAGUAAAAAUCUCCAAAAGAACUGGCUGUACUCACUGUUUCUUUCACCUUCCUCUCCCCUCACUCCCCCCUGAACCUACUCCAGUGAGGCUUUCUUGGGCACCACUCAAGAAAAUGCUCCGCUCUUCAGUGACUGUGCUGGGGCACGGGCAUGCCUGGAGCCUCCUUCCAUGGGACGUGAGCUCCACUGCCAGAACCUCGAGUCUGGAAGGAGAGUCUGGAGGGAGCCCCUAGGCAUGCGUCGGCCAGCCGCUUCCCAGCUCUCUUAGAACUCUGCUACCUUCAUGGUGUCCCUCUAUAAUUCUGCUCCUCAAAGAGUGGCCCCCACAAUGGCAGCACUGACGUCACCUGGAAGCUUGUUAGAAAUGCAGACUCUCAGGCCCCAGCCCAGACCUGGGCAAUCUGCAUGUUAGUGUGACCCCCAGGUGGUUGUGGUGCACAUCAAAGUUCAAGACGCACUGCUUCAAACCUCUGAGUCCAACGUCGGAAAAUCCAGUUGCCUACAGGUGUGAGCCACAUUCUCAGCAGUUUUAUCAGUAAUAAAGGUGAUGUUUUGUUCUCU
Lemur catta (Ring-tailed lemur) is the source of this 1550-nucleotide long non-coding RNA. RefSeq lists it as uncharacterized. NCBI's taxonomy places the organism in Eukaryota, Metazoa, Chordata, Mammalia, Primates, Lemuridae. The transcript has 2 exons. The record is from RefSeq and is a predicted model, not a curated record.